RNAcentral lists this long non-coding RNA (608 nucleotides) under Glycine max (soybean). Its description in RNAcentral is "long non-coding RNA (GMAX_LNC002576)". Lineage: Eukaryota; Viridiplantae; Streptophyta; Magnoliopsida; Fabales; Fabaceae. The record is from RNAcentral.
AUCAAUACAUAGCAGGGUAUAGGACCAAAACUCAUGAUUCCAAUACACCUUACAUAGCUGGGUACACAACAACCAGUGCUUCCCACAAAGCCAAUCAACCUAAUUACCUUGCAGGGUAUAGGACCAAAACCGAUGAUUCCAAUACACCCUACAUAGCUGGGUAUACAACAACUAAUGCCCAUGUGGCAAAUAAUCAACCUAAUUACAUUGCAGGGUAUAGGACUAGCACCACCCAAGAAUCCAAUACACCUUCUUACAUUGCAGGGUAUAGGACUAGCACCACCCAAGAAUCCAAUACACCUUCUUACAUUGCAGGGUAUAGGACUAGCACCACCCAAGAAUCCAAUACACCUUACAUUGCAGGGUAUAGGACUAGCACCACCCAAGAAUCCAAUACACCUUACAUUGCAGGGUAUAGGACUAGCACCACCCAAGAAUCCAAUACACCUUACAUUGCAGGGUAUAGGACUAGAACCACCCAUGAUCCUAAUGCACCUUACAUAGCUGGGUACACAACAACUAGUGCCAAGAAAGCUCCAAAAGGGUCAUCUCAUGAUGAUACCACUGGACCUUACAUAACCCAAUAUGGUGGACCCGGUCCCAAAAAU